AGAGUUUGAUCAUGGCUCAGAACGAACGCUGGCGGCGUGCCUAACACAUGCAAGUCGAACGAGAAAUUCCGACUUCGGUUGGAAGAGUACAGUGGCGCACGGGUGAGUAACGCGUGGGUAACCUGCCCCUGAAUCUGGGAUAACUCCGUGAAAACGGUGCUAAUACCGGGUAUUGUCCCCUUAACUGUGGUUUUUGGGAUGAAAGGUGACCUCUUCAUGAAAGUUGCCGUUCGGGGAUGGGCUCGCGUACCAUUAGCUUGUUGGUAGGGUAAAGGCCUACCAAGGCAACGAUGGUUAGCUGGUCUGAGAGGAUGAUCAGCCACACUGGAACUGAAACACGGUCCAGACUCCUACGGGAGGCAGCAGUGAGGAAUUUUGCGCAAUGGGGGAAACCCUGACGCAGCAACGCCGCGUGAGUGAAGAAGGCUUUCGAGUCGUAAAGCUCUGUCAAGUGGGAAAAAAUGCUUUCGAUUAAUAGUCGAAGGAACUGAUGGUACCACUAAAGGAAGCACCGGCUAACUCCGUGCCAGCAGCCGCGGUAAUACGGAGGGUGCUAGCGUUGUUCGGAAUUACUGGGCGUAAAGGGCGUGUAGGCGGUUUAGCAAGUCAGAUGUGAAAGCCCUGGGCUCAACCCGGGAAGUGCAUUUGAAACUGCUAGACUAGAGUAUGGGAGAGGAGAGUGGAAUUCCCAGUGUAGAGGUGAAAUUCGUAGAUAUUGGGAGGAACACCCGUGGCGAAGGCGACUCUCUGGACCAAUACUGACGCUGAGACGCGAAAGCGUGGGGAGCAAACAGGAUUAGAUACCCUGGUAGUCCACGCUGUAAACGAUGAGAACUAGGUGUAGCGGGUAUUGACCCCUGCUGUGCCGAAGUUAACGCAUUAAGCGCCCCGCCUGGGGAGUACGGCCGCAAGGCUAAAACUCAAAGGAAUUGACGG
Molecule: ribosomal RNA, 936 nt
Filed under: uncultured bacterium
Lineage: Bacteria
Description: bacterial SSU rRNA
Rfam family: Bacterial small subunit ribosomal RNA
Source: RNAcentral